Molecule: long non-coding RNA, 533 nt
Organism: Drosophila takahashii
Lineage: Eukaryota; Metazoa; Arthropoda; Insecta; Diptera; Drosophilidae
Source: RefSeq, a predicted model, not a curated record
UUCAUUGCACUUUACUAUGGGCAAUACUGGCGCUCAUUUCGCUCGCAGGAGCGACACCAAUUGAAGAUGAAAUAAUAGAACCCGUGCAACUUUCAUCAGUUCCAUUUGUUAAAAUCGGCCAAGGUUAUUACUACAUUGAAACCAACACGAAAAAGAAUUGGUAUGAUGCAUCCGAAUCGUGUCGUCGAAUAGACUCCCAUCUUAUAUCUUUUGAGACCCUUGAGGAAUGGGAUUUGGUAAAUCAAUAUCUUUAUAAGAAGGGAAUAGAUGACGUAUACUGGACCUCUGGUUCCGAUUUGGGUCAUCAGAGAAGGCAUCAUUGGUUUUCUACCGGUGAGCCCUUAGCGUUGAAUAUUUGGUAUCCAGGAGAGCCAAAUAAUUAUAAUGGAAUUGAGCAUUGUGACUUGUUGGGCGAUCGCAGGACUCGCACGAACUACAAUGUUUUGAAUGAUCAGGACUGCGAGUAUCAAGUCCUUUACAUUUGCGAAAAACCUAUUCCCCAGAUUAUCUGUUAAACAUUAAAAACAAUAAUC